This 264-nucleotide ribosomal RNA is filed under the name uncultured bacterium. Its description in RNAcentral is "partial 16S ribosomal RNA". It matches the Rfam family "Bacterial small subunit ribosomal RNA", at positions 335 to 596 of the family's 1533-position model. The record is from RNAcentral.
AGGCCUACGGGGGGCAGCAGUGAGGAAUAUUGGUCAAUGGUCGGGAGACUGAACCAGCCAAGCCGCGUGAGGGAGGAAGGUACAGAGUAUCGUAAACCUCUUUUGUCAGGGAACACAGACUGGGACGCGUCCCCGGAUGCGUGUCCCUUACGCAACAGCAUCGGCUAACUCCGUGCCCGCAGCCGCGGUAAUACGGAGGAUGCGAGCGUUAUCCGGCUUUAUUGGGUUUAAAGGUUGCGCAGGCGGUCUGUUAAGUCAGCGGUC